GACGAACGCUGGCGGCGUGCCUAAUACAUGCAAGUAGAACGCACAGUUUAUACCGUAGCUUGCUACACCAUAGACUGUGAGUUGCGAACGGGUGAGUAACGCGUAGGUAACCUGCCUGGUAGCGGGGGAUAACUAUUGGAAACGAUAGCUAAUACCGCAUAAUAUUGAUUAUUGCAUGAUAAUUAAUUGAAAGGUGCAAUUGCACCACUACCAGAUGGACCUGCGUUGUAUUAGCUAGUAGGUGAGGUAACGGCUCACCUAGGCGACGAUACAUAGCCGACCUGAGAGGGUGAUCGGCCACACUGGGACUGAGACACGGCCCAGACUCCUACGGGAGGCAGCAGUAGGGAAUCUUCGGCAAUGGACGAAAGUCUGACCGAGCAACGCCGCGUGAGUGAAGAAGGUUUUCGGAUCGUAAAGCUCUGUUGCAAGAGAAGAACGGGUGUGAGAGUGGAAAGUUCACACUGUGACGGUAGCUUACCAGAAAGGGACGGCUAACUACGUG
This 505-nucleotide ribosomal RNA is filed under the name uncultured bacterium. RNAcentral's name for it is "partial 16S ribosomal RNA". It matches the Rfam family "Bacterial small subunit ribosomal RNA", at positions 28 to 507 of the family's 1533-position model. The record is from RNAcentral.